Molecule: ribosomal RNA, 482 nt
Filed under: uncultured bacterium
Lineage: Bacteria
Description: partial 16S ribosomal RNA
Rfam family: Bacterial small subunit ribosomal RNA
Source: RNAcentral
AUUGAACGCUGGCGGCAUGCUUUACACAUGCAAGUCGAACGGUAACAGGCCGCAAGGUGCUGACGAGUGGCGGACGGGCGGGUAAUGCAUCGGAACGUGCCCAGUCGUGGGGGAUAACUACUCGAAAGAGUAGCUAAUACCGCAUACGAUCUAUGGAUGAAAGCGGGGGACCGUAAGGCCUCGCGCGAUUGGAGCGGCCGAUGUCAGAUUAGGUAGUUGGUGGGGUAAAGGCUCACCAAGCCAACGAUCUGGAGGUGGUCUGAGAGGACGACCAUCCACACUGGGACUGAGACACGGCCCAGACUCCUACGGGAGGCAGCAGUGGGGAAUUUUGGACAAUGGGCGCAAGCCUGAUCCAGCAAUGCCGCGUGCAGGAAGAAGGCCUUCGGGUUGUAAACUGCUUUUGUACGGAACGAAACGGCUCUGGUUAAUACCCGGGGCUAAUGACGGUACCGUAAGAAUAAGCACCGGCUAACUACGUG